GCGGCAAAAAGCAAACGGGUUGUUUUGUAAAGCGAUGAGCAGAAAGUCUGUACAUUACUGCUGCAUGAAAUCCAAAUGAUUUACAGACAGGGAAAGUAAAUAAGGGAAGGAUCAUGUGAUUCAGUGUACUUUCUCUGCUGAAUAUAAAAUGUUCUUGUACAAAAAAAAAUACACUACCGUUCAAAAGUUUGGGGUCACCCAGACAAUUUCAUGUUUUCCAUGAAAACUCACUUUUAUUCAUGUGCUAACAUAACUGCACAAGGGGUUUUCUAAUCAUCAAUGAGCCUUUCAACACCAUUAGCUAACACAAUGUAGCAUUAGAACACAGGAGUGAUGGUUGCUGGAAAUGUUCCUCUGUACCCCUAUGGAGAUAUUCCGUUAAAAAUCAGCUGUUUCCAGCUACAAUAGUCAUUUACCACAUUAACAAUGUCUACACUGGAUUUAUCAUUCAUUUAAUGUUAUCUCCAUUGAAAAAAACUAUUUUUCUCUCAAAAACAAGAACAUUUCUAAGUGACCCUGAACUUUUGAACAGCAGUGUAUGUAAUUUUAUUUCCUGACUGAACUCAGAUGUUUAAACAGCUGCUCCAGAGGUAGGCAGCACAUCCAGGCAAUCAUGGUCUUCUGGAACUCCUUAUUGGUUGAAAUGGAUCAUGAUGCAGGUCAAACUUCCAUUGGACUGUCAUCAACUUUCUCUAAGAUGUUAAUCUACUAUUUUCCGAUGAACUAUGCUGGUUUUUCUUGGUUACAGUGAACACUGGCACAAUUCUCCAUCUGUUACAAAUGUGGGCCACAUCAAAUCCAACUGUGACACGCAGACUUCAUAAGAUGAUAAAUUGUAUUUGAUAUGCUUAAUAUUACAUCAAAGUUAGUCUAUUACACAAGAAUUCUCUGACCAGAUCUGUUAAAAUAAAACACAUGAUGGACCAGAGAAUGUACAGUGAAAGCUGCAGACCUGGUCUGAUAUGUGAAGACAUGUAGAA
This is a long non-coding RNA of Amphiprion ocellaris (clown anemonefish), 980 nucleotides long. RefSeq lists it as uncharacterized. The record is from RefSeq and is a predicted model, not a curated record. NCBI's taxonomy places the organism in Eukaryota, Metazoa, Chordata, Actinopteri, Pomacentridae. The transcript is spliced from 2 exons.